RNAcentral lists this ribosomal RNA (253 nucleotides) under uncultured bacterium. RNAcentral describes it as "partial 16S ribosomal RNA". It matches the Rfam family "Bacterial small subunit ribosomal RNA", at positions 524 to 776 of the family's 1533-position model. The record is from RNAcentral.
GACGUAGGGUGCAAGCGUUGUCCGGAAUUAUUGGGCGUAAAGAGUUCGUAGGCGGUUUCUUAAGUCUGGUGUUAAAGCCCGGAGCUCAACUCCGGCAUGGCAUUGGAAACUGGGAAGCUAGAGUGUGGCAGAGGUCACGGGAAUUCCAGGUGUAGCGGUGAAAUGCGUAGAUAUCUGGAGGAACACCGGUGGCGAAAGCGCGUGACUGGGCCAUAACUGACGCUGAGGAACGAAAGCCAGGGGAGCAAAAGGG